Leptonychotes weddellii (Weddell seal) is the source of this 889-nucleotide non-coding RNA. The record is from RefSeq and is a predicted model, not a curated record. NCBI's taxonomy places the organism in Eukaryota, Metazoa, Chordata, Mammalia, Carnivora, Phocidae.
AGUCACGGGACAAAGGGCUCCGGGUGCGGGGGUGUCCCCGAGGCUGGUGCGCGGGUUUACUUCCUCUCCGGCCCGACGGGCGAGCUCCUCUUUUGGCCGAUCCCGAAGCCCGCCCCGCCACCGUCACCGCACCGGUGGCCUGGUUUCAUGGGACCAACAGGAGUAAUCCUACCCUGCGGAUCUAAUCCGGAUCGGGACCGGUCCUAAGGGAGGCCCUUACCAAUCUUCCUAUUGUUUUGGGGCCCAGGAGGUCCUGAAAAUGGUUAGCUGCCCUAUUCCGCUGACAAUUCAUUUGGAACUUUUGACGUUUGAUCAAGUGCCAAAUGUGGGGAAUGAAACGUUAUCACAAAUAGGUAAGAUUUCGAUGAAACAGUCGGGUCUGGGCCCCACCCGGUAGCGAGGAUCCUUUCCCUGGUUGCUAAUGCCGGUGACGACGACGGAACUCUAGGCCGAAGGCGGACCUCGCGAUGCCGGGGCCGGGCAGGGCAGGCGGACCACGCGGAGGGAGUGCUGGGACCGAAGGUCGAAAGCGGCCGCCACGGUUACCUCUGGCGCACCUGUCCGCUCAGGGACCACCACCGGAUACGCGCCCCGGCCAGUCGGCCCUCCCGGAAGCUCGACCUCCUGACGUUUUGCUUCCGGUUCCGCUGGCUCCUUCCGGUCGCCAUGGCGACGGGGCGCUUGGGGGUCGGGGAGACGCUAGGGGCCCUCAACACGGCCCUGGGGCCUGGCGACCCCGUGUGGUUCAAGGAGACGCGCGCCCGCCACCUGCGCGCCCGAGACUUCCUGGCGCCGCGGCCCGCGCUGCAAGCGCGCUUCGGGGACGGACAGGUGCCCGAGCGUGUGGUCCGUGCGGUCGCCGGCCUGCAAGGCCCCGGCGUGGCCCCGG